This 495-nucleotide ribosomal RNA is filed under the name uncultured bacterium. Its description in RNAcentral is "partial 16S ribosomal RNA". It matches the Rfam family "Bacterial small subunit ribosomal RNA", at positions 27 to 507 of the family's 1533-position model. The record is from RNAcentral.
GGACGAACGCUGGCGGCGUGCUUAACACAUGCAAGUCGAACGGUGAAGCGCCUUCCUUUUUGGUGGGUGUGGAUGAGUGGCGAACGGGUGAGUAACACGUGAGUAACCUGCCCCCUUCUUCUGGAUAACCGCAUGAAAGUGUGGCUAAUACGGGAUAUUCUGGGUCUGUCGCAUGAUGGGUCUGGGAAAGAUAUUGUUUCGGUGGGGGAUGGGCUCGCGGCCUAUCAGCUUGUUGGUGGGGUGAUGGCCUACCAAGGCGGUGACGGGUAGCCGGCCUGAGAGGGUGGACGGUCACACUGGGACUGAGACACGGCCCAGACUCCUACGGGAGGCAGCAGUGGGGAAUAUUGCACAAUGGGCGAAAGCCUGAUGCAGCGACGCCGCGUGAGGGAUGGAGGCCUUCGGGUUGUGAACCUCUUUCGCCAGUGAAGCAGGCCUGCCUCGUUUGUGGGUGGGUUGACGGUAGCUGGAUAAGAAGCGCCGGCUAACUACGUG